AGAAUCGACGCUGGCGGCGUGCCUAACACAUGCAAGUCGAGCGCGAAAGGGGGGUAACUCCCCGAGUAGAGCGGCGAACGGGUGAGUAACGCGUGGGUCAUCUACCUUCGAGUGGGGAAUAACAGCGGGAAACUGCUGCUAAUACCGCAUGACAUCGCUGGGCCUUCGGGCCUGACGAUCAAAGCCGGGGACCGCAAGGCCUGGCGCUUGAAGAUGAGCCCGCGUCCGAUUAGCUAGUUGGCGGGGUAAUGGCCCACCAAGGCUUCGAUCGGUA
RNAcentral lists this ribosomal RNA (274 nucleotides) under uncultured soil bacterium. RNAcentral describes it as "partial 16S ribosomal RNA". It matches the Rfam family "Bacterial small subunit ribosomal RNA", at positions 26 to 285 of the family's 1533-position model. The record is from RNAcentral.